UACGUAGGGUGCGAGCGUUAAUCGGAAUUACUGGGCGUAAAGCGUGCGCAGGCGGUCAGUUAAGUCUGAUGUGAAAGCCCCGGGCUCAACCUGGGAAUGGCAUUGGAAACUGGCUUGCUAGAGUGUGGCAGAGGGGGGUGGAAUUCCGCGUGUAGCAGUGAAAUGCGUAGAGAUGCGGAGGAACACCGAUGGCGAAGGCAGCCCCCUGGGCCGACACUGACGCUCAGGCACGAAAGCGUGGGGAGCAAACAGG
This 253-nucleotide ribosomal RNA is filed under the name uncultured bacterium. Its description in RNAcentral is "partial 16S ribosomal RNA". It matches the Rfam family "Bacterial small subunit ribosomal RNA", at positions 524 to 776 of the family's 1533-position model. The record is from RNAcentral.